This 546-nucleotide long non-coding RNA is filed under the name Equus caballus (horse). RNAcentral describes it as "lncRNA (ENSECAG00000053630.1)". The record is from RNAcentral. Lineage: Eukaryota; Metazoa; Chordata; Mammalia; Perissodactyla; Equidae.
GUGCUUGGAAUUAGAGCCAGCCAGGAGGGGCGCGCUGGGGAGGCUCUUUCUGAGGCCUCAUCCAGCAGAUACUCCCGCCAGCCACUCCGAAUGCACUCCCACUCCGCAGCCGCAGCCAGCCAUCAACCGGUUGUGGCCACGCAAGGGCCAAGUUCUUUUGUUUGAGGUGUUCUCCCCUUUUCCCCUCAAAUCCUCUCCUUUCCAGGACCAUGAGCUUCCUGUUGCCAUUUUUCUAACCAACUGAAUUACAUGGGUAAUUGUGAACAAAGAUGGUUCCUGCUGGUCUCACCUUUGGAACAUACAAACUUAAGCUCCCCCAGGUUAUUCCGAAGUGCAUCCAGAGUUGAGGAGCCUGCCUCAGAGUUUUCAGAGCAGUCACGGCCUGCCUUGGCUCAAUCCUUGCCACAGCCUGGAUGGCAGAUGAGAAAACUGAGGCACAGAGAGGCUAAGUGGCCCAUCCAAAGCCACAUCUGGAUAGUGGACAUGGAGAUAUCUGGCACUCACAGCUACAUGAUCCUGCCAUUAAGACCAUCCAGGUAAACCCAU